CCUGAUAUCAAGUAAUUGUUUUCUUUGUCCGGCAGGGUUUGAAGAAAAUUCACCAGAAAAGUUCCGGGACUGCCGAAGGAGCUAGAAUUUAGACACCCGAAAGUAAGUACUAUAGUAGCAUGUUCCGCGCAUCUCCUAGUGAUUCAAGCGCUAGUUUCAUCAAUACCAUUUAGCAUUCUUGCUUAUCAGUUUAAAUGACCUCUAUUUCUUGUAAAGUGGUUGUGGCAGGAAAAAGGGAAUGAUUUCUGUGGAUACUACGUCUGCGAGUCCAUCCGCCACACGACCUGUGAGCGGGGCGGGUACUCUGACGAACAAUAUGAAGUACGUAAAUAACAACAUUCACAAUUUUAUUUUAUUACCAUCAUUUGUAUUGAGUUUCAUUCAUUCAUAUAUAUGUAUUGACCCCCUUCUUCAAAUUAGAUGUUUCGGAAGCGGGAUGAACUCCUAGCACCAGCUCGCAUGCAAGCAAUUCAAGAGGAAUUGGCGGCAUUCUUUCUUGACCAAGUGAUCGCUGAAGACGGAGAAUACUAUGUGGACCAUGAGUCCGUAUGAUUAUAUUUGUAAGAGAUAAUUAUUGUAUAUAUGUAGCCGGUAGUGUCGGAUAGAUAUACGAGAACUUGUUGUUCGACCAAUCUCUCGGAGAAGGAGAGGUGGUCGAUAUCACUUCUCUCUGUAUGCAUAUAUGUUCACGACGAUCUUCUGUUUCCUUCGUUUGCUUACUAGCUAACUAGCGUGUCUAGUCCUCUCUAUACGUAUGUAUAGUACGUAGCGUCGACCAAGCACGGACGUAAGAGAGGACACUUCUCUCUAUUAAUUAUAGCUAGCUAACACAAUAUAUGAAACACCUAAAUUAACUCCCCCAAAACCCCCAACCCCCCUUUAAAAAAAACAAAAAAAAAACCCCAGCCACAGAAAUGCUGACGCGUGGAUGCCUAUUGGUCCCGAUUGGUGCCACCAACCGGGACCAAAGGGUCUCCUGCCUGGGCUCUGUGCACUGCCCACGUGGAGGCCCAUCAGUCCCAGUUCUGGAUUGAACCGGGACUAAAGGGUCGGGGCAUUAGUACCGACACAUUAGUCCCGGUUCAGGAACCGGGACUAAAGGCCCUUACGAACCGGGACUAUAGGCCCUUUUUCUACCAGUGCUGUGAGAACAAAACCAUGCAAAAGCACAUUAAUAGAGAGUUCAUCGGCAGUAGUCAAGGUUAUCAAGUUUCGCAAUGCAAAUUUGAUCCUUGCAAAUAGGGUUGACUAUUGUAGGUGGUGUGAGUAAAGAGCUUGGAAAUCAGUGGCGAGCGGUUUAGGGAGAACCCAUCUGUCUUGCCAGAAAAUGUUGCCUUAAUUAUCAUUACCGACAUUGCAUUUUGGAUAUUUGGGAGAGGCGGAUAAUUGUUUGUGGACUGUUUUAGCUAAAUAUUAGGCAUCGUUGGCAGUGGAGACUGGGAAAGGCUAUUGAUUAAAAAAUCCAAUCAUUCUAUCUAAAGUUCAUGGAAUCUAUGAACUUGUCAGCAAACUUCAUCAUCAAGUAAACAUUUUUGGUUUCAAUGUUUUAACCCCGUGACCACCAGUGCUGCAUGGUGUGCACACGUUGUGCCACACAACCAGGCAUUGAGGCCGCGUCGUCCAUUGACUAGAAAAAACAUCUAUGGCAUUUGUCGAUUGUUUCUAUAUUUUUGCGUGGUAGAAUAAAACAACCCAUGAAGUAAGAUGGCAGGUUGUCCGAGAGAAAUACGAAUUUUCACCCUUACGGAGCAAGUGUGCAUACCAUCCUCUUAAGUAACGAUUAAAGUUAUCAAAUAGAGGCUGGAAAGCAAAGGCUAGGAGUUUGUGUGGUGAGAGCGGAAGGCCGAGGUAAGUUCGUCCUGAUGGGUAGAGCGAUUAAAGUUAUUUUUUUGGAAGUAAAUUCACAUGCUAGUAGCGGCAGCGAAAUCUCCGGCUAAUACGUAGAGUAGAAGGGGCCCAUUUUCAGUUUAUCCAGUUGUUGGCACUGUUAAAAAAAUCUUCCGAUUCAGCGAUUAAUUUUCCAAUUUAUCGUUAAUAGGGGUGACUAAUAAGAUUAUGCCUUAUCUUCAUCAUCUAUCCUUUGAACCGAUUUAUCCCUCUAACAGGUGAUUUAUCGGGUUCAUAGCACUAUGUUUGUAAAAACUAUGUUUAUUUAUGUUUUAUGGACCUUGUUACGCAAUAUGUAAUGUUAUCCUAUUUUGUUCCGAUCCGGCAGCGCGGGCGUCCACCACCGGCUCCUGUUCUUCCCUCACCGCCGCCGGAGGGCGUCGCCGGGCAAAGCCCGACCGAGUCGGCGGCGGUGGGGUCAUAUGAAGGUGCAGAGGGAGGCCUGUUCCGGCUGGUUCCGGCCACUAUUUCAAAUAGCCCGCUAUAGCUUCGCUAUAGCACGCUAUAGCGUUUACAAAAGGUCUUGCGCUAAGAUACUUUGGUCCAAACAAAUGAACAAAAUAUUUUAAAUAGCGCGCUAUAGCUCCGCUAUAGCACGCUAUAGCAUUUGAAAGAUGUCCGGCGCUAAGAUGCUUAGCGCGCUAUUUAAAACUAUGAUUCCGGCUGGCUUGGAGCUCGGCCGCGAGUCAUGGUGCCAGGUGCAGCGUGGGAAGGAGAAGCAUGGCGGCUCCAUUACGUUUUCUCGCGGUGCUAGUGACGAUCCCGGCUGGCGCGGUGCCAGCAUGCGAGGUCCUGCCGCUCUGGCCAAGGCGCAUGCUGGGGGCAACGUGGAGCCGUGAAUGCAGGGGCCAGAUAGGCCGCUGAUGCUUGGUGCUGCAGGCUCUAGGCCCUAGCCAUGGCGGGCCGUCAUGAGGUUGCCGAGCGAGCGGGUGACCAUCAUGUGCGGGCUGGACUCCGGCUAGCUCCGAUUGGGUGGUCGGCCGACGACGCUACGGUUCACGACUUGGUGCUGGUGAUCCAGAUUUGAUUGGUCGGAUGGUGGUGAUUGCAAACUAUUCUGCAGUGAUUUCCUACGGCUCCACAACGGCGAUGGUCAUCUGAAGGUCUUCGGGAGGGUUUUCUCCGUUGAUCUCGUGGUUGACUUCAGCGGUGGGAUGCAAAUUACGGACGAAGACUUAACGCAGAGGGAUGGUUGUGCAGUGGCGGCGGUCGCAUCACAUGUAACUGCUGGGAUCGCAGAAAAGUGGUGGUGACAACACAUGAGACUUUGAUGGUGGUGCUACUCGAGCAGCCGGUCUCGAGCUCCGGAGCGAAAGCCUAGGUCAGACCCUAGUGGUUAUACCUUGCAAUGGCGAUAUUUUCUUACAUCGUUACCUCGUUGAAGGCAUUGUUCGGAUAUGUUCAGACCGAUUCUUCAGGGUGAAAUCCUAGAUCCUGGACUUAUGGUUGGAUCCUAUGACGGUGGCGUUUGGAUGUCGUUCCCUUCUUGAAGGCGUUGCUGUUGAAGAACCUAGUCGUCCAUGUGGUGUCAUGAGAUGGUUGGUGCGGAUAAAGUCAUUACUGUAGUUUGCCGAUCGUAGAUCUGAUCACUUUAUUGUUUUUAUUUUCUCGCAUACACAUAGCUUUGGUCUUAUAUACUUUGCUAGUUGUCGGUAUGUUUUAGUGAGUGUGUGUGAGUUGGUAUUGGCUGUGUGCAUCCUAGUUAUGCAGAGACCGAGUGUGUGCUCAUGAUGUUAUGUAUCUUCUUGAUACUUCAUUUUGAGUUAAUAAAAUCCACCCUUUGUCGAAAAAUCUCCGUGUGAAAGCUUUUCUCCUAGAGUCCUAGCCAACGCAUCUUCCUAUUUUGCUUUGUCUCCCUCCAGUUAUGUAUUGAUCUAGACGUUCUCCGAUUCCUCCCGUCCCUGAUCUUCCAUGGCGCUGCACGGCUGGGAGUGUCACAUCUAGUCUCAAAAUCGAGAAGCUGCAGUUUCAGCCAUCCCUGUCAUCACUGGUCCUGUCCCCAGAUGCUUUCCACGGGGCUGAUCCACCAGGAGCGUCACCUCCAGCCUCCGGUUUGAGGAGCUGCAAAUUUGGGAAAUUGAAAACCGUCUCUCGAUAGGGUUCCAAAGACCCAACGAGUACAUGAUCCAGCAAUCCUCUUCCUCAUCUUGGUAGCGCUGCCUCUCCUCUCCAUGUUGUCCUAAGGUACAAUGUUUACUCCAUACUGUAAUAGUGUAAUUUAUCUAGAAACAGGUACGAUCUGAUCCAUUAGCUCUGGGCUCCCUAAUUCCAUCGUCUCCAACCUAGAGUCUCCUCGGCUUUCAUCUUCUGACUGACCACACAACUAUCAUCCAAUUUUUUCCCUGUAGAUGAGAUGAAACUCCUCCUGCUCCUACAAAACUAUCACUCAUCGUUGACAAAUACAGACACAAUAAGAGUAAGGAUAGUUGGGAGGAAGACGAAGGAGCUGAUGUCCUCUCGCUACAGUGGAUAACAGGGAGGCGUCAAAUCUGGGCCAUGAAAGCUUGAUCAGUGUGGCAAGCACGCCUGCCCAACAAGCGGCAGGACGAGAUUAAGUGAUUAACCCAUGUUCUCAUGCAGGUGGUAUAUUCCUCAGACUCCAGAGUACGCAUCUUAUCUAUUCUCAGUUUUAAUCAUUAUGCAAUUACUCUUCUCCUCUUUAUCUCCUGUUGUUAGGCGAUGCACUUUAGUUGAAAAAUUGUUAACUUUCUGAAGCGUCAGCUGUAAUGGAGGGGUCGCGCUCAGAAUAAUUACCAGGUUGAUCAAUCAACUGGCAAGAUAAUCAUGAUAUGCAUAUUCUCUUAUAAGUUACUCUUGGUAAGUGAAUUUCAGGCCAGCUACUUCUUGAUUGGCGGCCCGACCCCCGCGUCGCCUAGCUCUGGCGACACGGGGGUAGAAACCCUAGCGCCGCCACAGUCCCCGCCCCCUCCCCCACCUGUCUCGCCGCCGCCAGAGGGCGCUCGCCGGCGAAGCCCGGGCCGGCCCCGAGGAAGGCGGCGGCGGGGCGUUAUCCCUGGCCAGUCUGGCGCGUCGAGAGGGGAGAUCCGCCGGCGCCCUCUGGAGCCUGGGAUCUAUGCGCCUGGCUGCGUCUCACGCCUGGUGCGCGUGCCCUUGGCUGCGCGUCGAUGGGGGUGGGCGCGGCCACGGCUGCGGGGAUGCCCCGGGAUGGUGGCGGCAGAGACCACUCCUUUUCGGUGGUGUCCGGAUCUAAGGCGGCGGCCUCGCUGGUGCGGACGGCGCUCCCCCGACGGCGGGAAGUGUUCGUCGGUGAGGUAGGCCGGUUCCCCUCGGCUGCGCGGGCAGCGAGGUCCCGGUGGGCGCAGGUCUUGGCGCAUGGAGGCCCCGGGCUCCCCGCGUCAGAUCGGAGGCGAUCCUGGUCCGCUCGUGAUGCAUGACCUUCAGUCGGCCUGGAUCUCCGACGCACUCGCGCCUGCGGAUGUCGUGGCUGGCUCGAAGGUGGCGGCAGGGUGCUUGGCCGGGGGAAACCCUUGGCCGCCGGUGGCGGCCACGGCGUCGAUGGCGUCCCGGACGCCAUUCCCUCCUUGGUGGCGGCGUCGAGGCUAAACAUCCCCUGCCUCCCCUCUUCCCCUGCACCCGGGUGAAAACCCUAGCCCCGGUGGCUAAGCGGUGGCGGCGCCACAGUGCCGUCACCUUCUUGAAGGCGCCGACUUGGGCAUGGGGAUGCUGGGUGUGUAUUGCGAGCUUGUCUGGUUCCUGGUGGCGGCCCUUCCGGCCGUGUCUCCGAUGGGGACCUCGCCCUUCCUCACCCUGUACAUGCCGUGGUGGAGCGGUACUUCAUCUCACUCAUUCAUGGCGGUGAGGAUCGGAGGCAUGGCGCUGUGGAGGCUCGCCGCCUGAUACGCGGAGAUGGACUCGCGCAGGCGGAGGUUGCUGUCUGGCGUCAUGAUGACGUCGAUGGCAGAGUGGCCACACAAGGUAGAAGCCUCAAGAUGAUCUGAAGAUGGACCUGCGGAAGAUGGUGGCGACGACACACGAGUGCGUCUGACCGGAUUGUGUCCCAGACCCGGUAUGUGGCUCGGCUGGGGCGUCCGAAUAUGUUUCGGUUUCCGGCUUUUUGAUGUUAGGCUUAGGUGAGUGGUUUGGGUAGUGGCCCAGCUAGCACCCCUUCAUCAUUUUGGAUAGGAGUAGUGGCAUGUGUUGCCAAGAUGGUGGAUUCAGGCUUAUUGUUGUAAUACUUUGUAAGGUCCUCGAGAAUAACCAAUAAAGUGGCCGUAUGUAUCUCCCAGCUGCAGAGGCCGGAGGUCAUCCUCCUUUUCUAAAAAAAAACCUCCAUACAGCAGCUGCGUCCAUUCUGCUAUGCAAAACUAAUCUUACCUCACGUGUUCUUAAGAUAAAGACUUUUAGCUUUGAUAAAUGAGGAGACAGCCUGCUGAAUCAGCAACUUUCAGGUUAUCAGAUAUAGCCGUCUAAAAUACCCUUCAUUAUUGCUGAUGGCAGUUAUAUUCUUCAUAAGUUCUUAUCUAAAUUCUCAAUAAAAAAGGAUACAACACUCUAUUGUUUGUUUUUAAUCCUUUCUAGAUGUGGUUCUAUGAUACAUAACUCAGUAUCUUGGAGGUGCACCUUCAAUUUUUUACUCAAUGAUUUGGCUAGAUGUCCUCACAGCUUAAGGAUAUGGAAAUCAUUAUUAGCUAAGUUUCAUCUUUAUCUCUUUCCUGGAAAACUAGGAUACUGCUCGGAUGAAAUGUAAUAGAAAUAUAUUCGAGUUUCAAGUAUACAUUGCAUGAGAAACAUAGUACUACGCCUCUCUCAACCAAUCAAUGUACCUUUGAACAAUAGAUUCAAAUUCUAUUUCAUACAGAUGCCUUAAGGCAUUUUUUUAUAACAACUCUACCACAUCUACACACUUUAAUUCCCCUAUUCUCAGUCUGAGGUACUGACAUUUUUAUUUUCUGGCAUCCCCUCAAAUAUGAAUCAAACAAUUUUGCCAACUCCUAAGCGAAACAACACUGCUUUUUUGUAACAAGAACUAAUACAUGCAGAUGCAGCUGCCAUUUAGGGGUGUAAACUGGUGGUGCAGGUCACACAGGCAUACUAAGAAACAUGUGUUCAUAAGGGUUCUUAGUGAUGACAAAUAUUUUCAUGUUUAUGAUUUCUUCUCGCAGAGAUUUCGUAGCUCUUCUUGCGAUGUCCAACUGUUCAGUGUAUUGUUUGAUCUAGCAAACUGUUCACAACAUGCUCUAUACUAUAAGAAAUCAUCUGAGCUAAAGAGCUUUACAUAAGAAUAGGUUAAUCCUAGGGUUCAAGAACUAAUAAUUGAAUCCACAAGUUUACUAUCGGUACUCAGGACAUAAAUGAAAAAACUGUGCUUUCCCAGUUUCUCCACCACAUAUACUGUAAAUUUGUAAUAUAAUUGUACUACAAGAAACCAUCUGAUCCGACUUAAGAGUUCAAGCACAAAUAAUUGAACCUACAAGUUUACUCUUAGUAGUCAGGACAUAAAUGAAAAAAACAGUUUGCUUCUUCUAAAGUUCUUGAUUUUUAGAAGGAAAAUGGAAAGGAAUGUGUACUAUUUAUUCCUUGAACCGAAUAUAUAACUUUAGCUUUGUUUGUGAUACUGAUGUACAAUUAUCAACAAAACUACGCCUGUUAUUUCAGAUUGCUAAUGACCUUGAGGAAUCAAGGACAAUAAUUCCUGCUGCUAGAUUAGUAUUUCUGCAGCUGAAGAUUCGUGAACCGACAGUAGACGAACCGGUACUUCUUCAGGUAAAAACAACUUUAUUUUUUGACUCCAGUUUGGUAUAUCAUUUAAGUUAAAAUGAUACCUCUGUUUCACUAUUAAUAUAUAGCACCGAUAGCAUGCCAACAAAUCUUCAGUUUGACCAUCCACUGUUCAGAAUAGUACUGUCAUCUUGCAUAUAUACAUUUAUUCAGCUCAGAUUUUGCUCUACGCGAACAUUAAAAAUUAUGUUGCCUGAAACGAAUAUAUAAGUAUGAACAAGUUUUGGGAUGAUGGAUCCCUUCUUCAGCAAUUACCCGGUGUUGAUGAGAUCGACCGUCGGAGGAAGCCUGCCGAGGUUCACAACUAAAGAGGUCAGUCUGCUGAAGGGGUUGCUAGACUACAUGGGGCUCAAUAGAAGGAUGACCAUGCCACUGUGAUUUAGUAAUGGCAGAAUGAUACCAUGGCAGAUACGUUGGUUCUCCUGUGUGUCUCUGGCAUAUGCAUUUUCAGCAUUGAGAAAUUAGAAGCCAAUUGGAGAUAAGGUAACUGUCGUUUUAGCAACAUGCAGACUAAUAUUUUUGUGCUGUAAUGUUGCAUUUGAGUUUCGGAAAAUCAACUGCCGGCAUCAUGACUGAACAAUGCUCUCACUCCCUGCCGCGAAUUGUUCGUGGAUGUCCAUGGAGAUUUGUUCUCAUAAAGUGUUCUAUAAUUAGCGGAUGUGUGUAAUUAUUAUGUAUGUCGUUGAUCUCAUGUACAUAGAAGUGUAUUUGCAUAUGUCGUUCGAGUUACUAUUCACGUGUUACAGUAGUAACAUACGUCCACGUGUUCAACUAGAUCUGAAGAACAUAUCCAGUUGAAACCAAGUUAUGGUAAAAACUCUGGAAAUCAUUUUGUAACAGCUUUCGAAAAAGGAUCUUUUAAGAAUACAACAUGUUAGCAAAUUGAUAUGCUAUUAACAUUUGGAUUUUCGAUCAAAUUUAAAAUUCAGAGGUAGUUACAAAAUUAAAAAUGAUGUUUACAAGAAUAUAGGACUGAGGAUGAAAAUUAUAUUUGACUAAGCCUAAAUUACUUAUCAAACGACAGUCUAGAGUCAGACACACGAUACAACACAAACGUAACAGAUGAACAUGUUUUGUUUUUGCUCCACAAGUUAUGACAAAAACUAUAUUGGCAUGUCUUUUAAGUAGUAUUGCAAAAGGGAGUCCUGUUUUUUAAAUGCUAUACUUAACAUAUAAAAUAAAUAGUGCAAACACAAUAUACCAUUUAACCAAAGAAUUGUUUUAUUAUUUAUGUGUUUUAAAAAUGACUAGCCCGUGCUUUCCGCACGGGUUGAUGACUAGUGGGAUUAAUUGACAUAGACUUAUUUUGGUUUUGUUCUAUAAACAGGUGAAGGAAAUAAACCACAGUGUUGUGAGUAAAGAUUAUCUUCUUCGUUCUGAAAUGGCACAGGACAUUUAGUGGACUGGGAGCUAAAUACCAAAAAGUUCUAAUACCCAGGAGAAGAGAGAAACGGAAUGUGCAUUGCUACGGAGUAGUAACAUGUAUGUGUAUGGUGGUACAUUAGCCAGUUACGGAGCCAGCUACCACUACUCGGCGGCUACCGUGUACUCCACAAAUUCAGGGGAACUAUCUACUCUCCGAUGGUCCACAUGGUCUGGAACGGAUGGGCCCCUCUGCUUGUCAAAAUCCUUGCUUUCUUGGCUCUCCAAGAUAGGGUUUGGACUGCCGACCAGUUGGCAAAACGAGGUUGGCCAAACUUUGGCCUUUGCUGUCAAUGCAAACGUGAGCAAGACUUCGGGAUGUAUCUUUUCUUCAAGUGCCUCUUCACCAUAUGCCUUUGGAAUCUAACCAAUUGUUAGGAAAAUAUGCAACUUAGUAUUAUCAGGAGGCAAAAGCCAUCAUAUAUGCAUGUACAUGGGAUGCCAAAGGCUAGAAUGCAAAAGGCCAAAGGCCACAAUAAAUAUAACUCUAACACCCCCCCCCCCUCAAACUCAUGGUGGAUCCACAACACUGAGUUUGGAGAGAUAAAAUCCAUGUUGCGCUUUAGUAUGGGCCUUCGUGAAAAAGUCCGCCAACUGUAACUCGGAAGGCACAUACUGAAGAGGAAUAACAUGGUCCUGUACACCAGCGCGCACAAAGAAAGCAUCAACACCAAUAUGCUUGGUAUGCUCAUGCUUCACGGGAUCCCGCGCAAUACUGAUAGCACCUGCAAUAUCUGACAAGAGUGUAGUACGUGUAGUAACAGUAACACCAAAAUCCUCAAGUAACCAACGUAGCCAAGUCACCUCUACCGUGAGAAGAGCCAUAGCUCACAACUCAGCCUCUGCACUCGAACGAGAAACAACAGUCUGUUUCUUCGUCUUCCAGGCAAUGAGAGAACCAUCAAGAAAAACACAGUCAGAAGAAAGUGAACGACGAUCCGAAGGAUCACUAGCCCAAGUAGCAUCUGAAUAGGCCUGGAGCUGUAGCGAGCUGGAACGAGGAAAGAAGAGACGUUGAGAGAUCGUGCCACAAAAAUAUCGUAGAACACGAAGAAGGUGACUAUAGUGAACCAAAGUGGGAGAAGAAACAAACUGACUCAGGAUAUAGACAGGAUAAGAGAUAUCCGGACGAGUGACAUCGAGAUAGACAAGACUCCCAACAAGAUGACGAUAACGGGUCGGAUCAGACAAGGGCUCACCAUCAGAAGCACAAAGGUGAACAUUAAGCUCCAUAGGAGUCUCAACAGUGCGCUCAUCACUAAGAGCCGCAUGAGCAAGAAGAUCCUGGAUAUUUUUUUUUUGAGAAAUAAAAAAGCCAUCAGAGUUGGAGGAAAUCUCAAUCCCAAGAAAGUAACGAAGAGGACCAAGAUCAGACAUAGAAAACUGCUCACUGAGACGGGCCUUGGCAAAGGCAAUGUACUCAAGAUCAUCGCCGGUGAUGAUCAUGUCAUCAACAUAUAGAAGAAGAAGAGUGCGACCACGAGCGGAAAGGUGGACAAACAGUGCUGGAUCAUGAGCACUGGGUGAAAAAACAGCUGCGGUGACCACCGAGGCAAAAUGCUCAAACCAAGCGCGGGGGGCUUGUUAAGGCCGUAGAGAGAGCGAUGAAGACGACAAACCAUGCCAUCAGGAACUGAGUACCCAGGUGGUGGCUGCAUAUAAACUUCCUCACGCAACUCACCGUUAAGAAAGGCAUUCUUAACAUCAAGCUGAGACACAGACCGGUGGCGAACAGAUCCACGGCGAGAAGUGUCCGAACAGUGGUCAUAUGGGCCACAGGAGCAAAAGUCUCAUCGUAAUCACGACCAUGCUCCUGCUGAAACCACGAGCUAUAAGACGAGCUUUAUAACGCUCAAGAGAACCAUCAGAGCGAUUCUUAAUCUUAUAGACCCACUUACAAGUGAUGGGACGGACACAGGGAGGAAGAGAAACUAGAUCCCACGUGCCGGUGCGCUCAAGAGCAGCAAUCUGCUCUGCCAUGGCAAACUGCCAUUCAGGAUGAACAAUCGCAUCUCGAUAAGAAGUCGGCUCAACAAUGGUCGAAAGACCAUAGCGAGAAGGAGAAUAUCGAUCAGGGGGCGGACAAGGCCGAGAACGAAGACCAUAAGUCGACUGAGAGGAGGAAGAAGACACGCCAGAAGUAGAGGGCACAUCGGUAGACUCAUCCACAACACGUCGACGACGAGUAUAAUGAAAAGGAAAGGAGGGAAGAGGUGGAAUCACUGGAAGUGGAGACGGGGAAUGUAUCGGUGAUGAAGGUGGAGAAGAGGAAGGUAUCGGUGAUGAAGGUGGAGAGUCAUGUGAUGAGGGAGGAGAAGAAACCAUAGGAGAGGAUGGCGUCAGAUAUGCAACAGCGGGACGAGGAGUAGGAAUACUGGGCACAAGGGAGGUGUAUCCGGAAACGUAAGAAAAGAGAUGUCCUCCGUGGAAAAGGCCGAGGAGGAUGGACGCGGGUAGAAGGGACGAGACUCAUCAAAGGUGACAUCCCGGGAAAUACGCAUCCGGCGACCGACAGGAUCCCAACACCGAUAACCCUUAUGCUCAUCACUGUAUCCGAGAAAGACACACUCAACAGACUGAGCGGUCAACUUCGUGCGUUCACGAGGGGCAAGCAAAACAUAGCAAACACAACCAAACAAACGAAGCGCCGAAUAAUCAGGAGAACGACCAGAAAGAUGCUCAAGAGGAAUACCACCCUGCAGAGCAGCAAAUGGUUGAAUGUUGAUGAGAUAGGUGAAAGUGGUAACAGCCUCAGCCCAGAAGUGAGGCGGAAGAGAGGCGGCUAUCAUCAUCGCACGCGCCAUCUCAAGAAGAUGACGAUGCUUGCGCUCGGCCACACCAUUCUGAGCAUGAGCACCAGGACAAGAGAACUGAGCAAGAGUACCCUGCUCAGCAAGGAAUCCUUGCAGCGCAUGUGAGAUAUACUCAUCAGCUAAAUCUGCGCGAAAAACACGAAUAGGAGUGGAAAACUGGGUAUGAACCAUGGCAGAAUUUUUUUUUGUAUAUAGAUAAGACCUCACUACGACAAGACAUGAAAUAGAUCCAAGUGUAUCGAGAAAAAAUGUCUAUAAAGAUAAUAUAGUAGCGAUGACCCCCUUUCGAAGCGAAGGGAGUCGGACCUUGUGACGCCCCCGAUUCAAUCGUACACUAAUCAUACACGCAAAGGUGUACGAUCAAGAUCAGGGACUCACGGGAAGAUAUCACAACACAACUCUACAAAUAAAAUAAGUCAUACAAGCAUCAUAAUACAAGCCAGGGGCCUCGAGGGCUCGAAUACAAGUGCUCGAUCAUAGACGAGUCAGCGGAAGCAACAAUAUCUGAGUACAGACAUAAGUUAAACAAGUUUGCCUUAAGAAGGCUAGCACCAACUGGGAUACAGAUCGAAAGAGGCGCAGGCCUCCUGCCUGGGAUCCUCCUAAACUACUCCAGGUCGUCGUCAGCGGGCUGCACGUAGUAGUAGGCACCUCCGGUGUAGUAGGGGUCGUCAUCGACGGUGACGUCUGGCUCCUGGACUCCAGCAUCUGUUUGCGACAACCAGAAAGAAAGGAAAGGGGAAAAAGGGGGGAGAAAGCAACCGUGAGUACUCAUCCAAAGUACUCGCAAGCAAGGAACUACACUACAUAUGCAUGGGUAUAUGUGUAAGGAGGCCAUAUCAGUGGACUGAACUGCAGAAUGCCAGAAUAAGAGGGGGAUAACUAAUCCUGUCGAAGACUACGCUUCUCGCAGCCACCGUCUUGCAUCAAGUAGAAGAGAGUAGAUUGAAGUCCUCCAAGUAGCAUCUCCAAGUAGCAUCUCCAAAUAGCAUCUCAUAGCAUAAUCCUACCCGGCGAUCCCCUCCUCAUAUCCCUGAGGUAGAGCGACCACCGGUUGUAUCUGGCACUUGGAAGGGUGUGUUUUAUUAAGUAUCCGGUUCUAGUUGUCAUAAGGUCAAGGUACAACUCCAAGUCGUCCUGUUACCGAAGAUCACGGCUAUUCGAAUAGAUUAACUUCCCUGCAGGGGUGCACCACAUAACCCAACACGCUCGAUCCCAUUUGGCCGGACACACUUUCCUGGGUCAUGCCCGGCCGCGGAAGAUCAACACGUCGCAGCCCCACCUAGGCAAAACAGAGAGGCCAGCACGCCGGUCUAAACCUAAGCGCACAGGGGUCUGGGCCCAUCGCCCAUAGCACACCUGCACGUUGCGUACGCGGCCGAAAGCAGACCUAGCCUAGUGGCGUUCCAGUCCAAUUCGGCGCGCGCCGCUCCGUCGCUGACGUCUGAAGUGCUUCGGCUGAUACCACGAUGUCGGGAUACCCAUAACUACUCCCGCGUAGAUGGUUAGUGCGUAUAGGCUCGUAGCUGACUCUGAUCAAAUACCAAGAUCUCGUUAAGCGUGUUAAGUAUCCGCGAACGCCGAACAGGGCCAGGCCCACCUGUCUCCUAGGUGGUCUCAACCUGCCCUAUCGCUCCGCCACAAAGUAACAGUCGAGGGCCGUCGGGAACCCAGGCCCACCUCUACCGGGAUGGAGCCACCUGUCCUUUCAGCCCCCUCGUCAGAAUCACUUGCGGGUACUCAAUGAGCUGACCCGACUUUAGUCACCAUCUGUAUAGUAUGUAUGUAUGUAUAGUAUAUACCCAUGAUCACCUCCCAAGUGAUCACGGCCCGAUAGUAUAGCAAGGCAGACUGACAAGAAUGUAGGGUCAAUGAUGAUAAACUAGCAUCCUAUACUAAGCAUUUAGGAUUGCAGGUAAGGUAUCAACAGAUGUAGCGACAAUGUCAGGCUAUGCAUCAGAAUAGGAUUAACGAAAGCAGUAACAUGCUACACUACUCUAAUGCAAGCAGUAUAGAGGAGAAUAGGCGAUAUCUGGUGAUCAAGGGGGGGGGCUUGCCUGGUUGCUCUGGCAAGAGAGAGGGGUCGUCAACUCCGUAGUCGAACUGGGCAGCAGCAGCGUCGGUCUCGUAGUCUACCGGAGAGAAGAGGGGGAAGAAACAAUGAAUACCAAGUAAACAGAUGCAUAUCGAUGCAUGACAUGUCAAGAAGCGAUGCUAGGCGUGCCCUAAUGUGGUAUGAGGUGGUACUGGUUAAGGGGGGAAUCAUCCGGGAAAGUAUUCCCGGUGUUUCGUGUUUUCGGGCAGAGGAGCCGGAGGGGGAAAGUUGCGGGUUCGAUAGGUUAGGGGGUGUGGCGGACGAACGGACUCCGUAUCCGAAUUCGUCUCGUCGUUCUGAGCAACUUUCAUGUUCAAAAUAUUUUAAUCUGAGUUACGGAUUAAAAGAUAUGAUUUUUUUAAGGAUUUUAUUAAUUUCUGGAAUUUAAUCAAUUAAUUAUUUAAUUCGAAAAAUGGAAUUAUGACGUCAGCAUGAUGCCAUGCUGACGUCAGCAGUCAACAGGGUUGACUAGGUCAACCCGGACAUGUGGGUCCCGUUUGUCAUACUCUGUUAACUAAUUAUCUUAGUUAAGUUUAAUUAACAAUAGUUAAUUAGGUUAAUUAUUCAUUAGGUUUAAUUAAUCAGGAUUAGUUAAAUUAAUUAAUUAUUUAAUUAAUUUUAUUCAUUAUUAUUUUUAUUAAUUAUAUUUAUCUAAAUUCCUUUUCCCCUUUUCUUUUUUUUAAUAAAACGUUAUGGGGGCGGGCCCCUGUGGUCAGUGGCCCAUGGGGCCUUGCGGGCGUUGGGUGCGGGGUGCGGUCGCCACCCGCUAACGGGCGAACCCGGGCGGCCGCAGCAGGCGCGCGCGCNNNNNNNNNNNNNNNNNNNNNNNNNNNNNNNNNNNNNNNNNNNNNNNNNNNNNNNNNNNNNNNNNNNNNNNNNNNNNNNNNNNNNNNNNNNNNNNNNNNNNNNNNNNNNNNNNNNNNNNNNNNNNNNNNNNNNNNNNNNNNNNNNNNNNNNNNNNNNNNNNNNNNNNNNNNNNNNNNNNNNNNNNNNNNNNNNNNNNNNNNNNNNNNNNNNNNNNNNNNNNNNNNNNNNNNNNNNNNNNNNNNNNNNNNNNNNNNNNNNNNNNNNNNNNNNNNNNNNNNNNNNNNNNNNNNNNNNNNNNNNNNNNNNNNNNNNNNNNNNNNNNNNNNNNNNNNNNNNNNNNNNNNNNNNNNNNNNNNNNNNNNNNNNNNNNNNNNNNNNNNNNNNNNNNNNNNNNNNNNNNNNNNNNNNNNNNNNNNNNNNNNNNNNNNNNNNNNNNNNNNNNNNNNNNNNNNNNNNNNNNNNNNNNNNNNNNNNNNNNNNNNNNNNNNNNNNNNNNNNNNNNNNNNNNNNNNNNNNNNNNNNNNNNNNNNNNNNNNNNNNNNNNNNNNNNNNNNNNNNNNNNNNNNNNNNNNNNNNNNNNNNNNNNNNNNNNNNNNNNNNNNNNNNNNNNNNNNNNNNNNNNNNNNNNNNNNNNNNNNNNNNNNNNNNNNNNNNNNNNNNNNNNNNNNNNNNNNNNNNNNNNNNNNNNNNNNNNNNNNNNNNNNNNNNNNNNNNNNNNNNNNNNNNNNNNNNNNNNNNNNNNNNNNNNNNNNNNNNNNNNNNNNNNNNNNNNNNNNNNNNNNNNNNNNNNNNNNNNNNNNNNNNNNNNNNNNNNNNNNNNNNNNNNNNNNNNNNNNNNNNNNNNNNNNNNNNNNNNNNNNNNNNNNNNNNNNNNNNNNNNNNNNNNNNNNNNNNNNNNNNNNACGGCGCCGGACCGGGAAGGCGCGGACGAGGCCACGCAGAGGCGGCGAGGUGAGGUGCGCGGCUGGAGCAGGGCCCCGACCGUGGCUACGGCGAGCACACGAGCAGCCGGCGCGGAUGAGGUCGGAUGUGCAGCAGUGGAAGGCAGCGGAGUGAGGGCUCGGGGGACCAUAGCGAGGCGUUGGGUCGAACACGGUCGGCACGCGGCGGACGACAAGAACGAGGGGAGAGGAGGCCAUGGCUGUGAGCGCGUGCGCGUGCGGAGAACGGCGACCGCGACGACGGGGAGAGAGGGAGAGGCCAGGGACCUCACCACGGGUCCGUAGGGCAAGGGCAGUGGGCUCGGGGAGGUCCAGCGAGGCAGAUCGACGAUGGGGGCGAGGUGGCGGCGACAACGAUCCGGGGAACGGAACAGCCCGAUCCGCGCGAGGCAGGGGGGGUCCCGAGCUCCGAUGCGUCUACGUAGUCGAAGAAGAUGGCGAAGGCGGUGCUCCCGGCGCAGUCUGAGGCGGCGGGGAGGAUGUUGGGCGCGAGGACGGCGGGGUCGGGGCGCCGUUGCCCCGAUCCAGAAAGGUGGGGCGGAGCGGCGAACGAGGGGAGUGGGAUGCGAGUGAGGGGAUUUGCCUCNNNNNNNNNNNNNNNNNNNNNNNNNNNNNNNNNNNNNNNNNNNNNNNNNNNNNNNNNNNNNNNNNNNNNNNNNNNNNNNNNNNNNNNNNNNNNNNNNNNNNNNNNNNNNNNNNNNNNNNNNNNNNNNNNNNNNNNNNNNNNNNNNNNNNNNNNNNNNNNNNNNNNNNNNNNNNNNNNNNNNNNNNNNNNNNNNNNNNNNNNNNNNNNNNNNNNNNNNNNNNNNNNNNNNNNNNNNNNNNNNNNNNNNNNNNNNNNNNNNNNAGGUAUAGGCCAGGGAGGGGGCCGGUUGGGCCAAGUAGGCCGAUUGGAUGGGAUGGGCCGAGGCCCAUGGGGAGGGGGGUUCAUUUGUUUUGUUUUGUUUUCACUUUUGUUUUUUCUUAUUUUUUUUUACCUUUUCUGUUUUAGUUUUGUUUUCAAUAAUUUUACUUUUGGUAAAAUAUACACUUAGUAUCUAAAUUAGUAUUUCAGCUCAGUCCAUAGCCACAAAAGGUCUAGUCCUCAGAUAAAUUAGUUUGAAAUUUUAUUAAUUACAAAAGUCAUUUAAAUAAUUGUUUUUGCUACUGUUUUAUUCAUCUUGUAGUAUUUAAACAUUUUAUAUAUAGGUGUGGUUUCUCUAGCAUAAUCAUCUAUGUUUUAUUUGCUACAAUUUGAACAUUUUAGAUUUGAUAAUUAAAAACUUUUAUUGUUUGACUUCAAUUCAAAUUUGAAAUUGGAUCGGUUCUGAACUAACAUAAGAUUAGCAACGGUAAUCGUGGUGACGUGGCAUCAUUACCAGAGGGUUACUGUAGCUUGAUUACCCGGACGUCACAGACCUCAAGCAUCAGAGUGAACGAGAUCAAAAGGGCGCUCGGACACUAACUCACUGUGAGGAUAGGGUAGUUGAAUCUGCUUACCAAGCCUACAACCUAGACAAUCCAAUGAAGCAUUAACGGAGACAAACCCUAGAACACCACGAUGAAACAAAGAUGAGAGAUGAGAACCACAUAAAUGGCCAAGACGAUGAUGCCACUGCUGAAAAGAGCUGGUAGAUGCGGCAACAGGGGCUGUGAGACUAGCUACAGGGAGAGGAGUGCCAUCAGCUGUAAGAACACGAACAUGAGACUCGACAGGUUGAACGGAGGUCAAAGUUGAAGAAUCAUAAGUCAUAUGAAAAGAUGCUCCCGUAUCAAACGUGAAUGGGUAGAAGGUGGUUUCUCAGUGCCAGAAGAGUCAGUCACGGAACCUGUAGAACCUGUCGAUGAAGAGUCCCAAGCAGCAAGCAGGCAUCGCAGCUGUGCAAUCUCAUGCGCAGUCAAGGACACGACGGAAGAGGUCGAGGUAGAAACACCCGCCGACGAUGAGCAGUCGCCACCACCCAUGGAAGCCGCACGUAGAGUCGAUCGAGAGUACCGAUUCGACGUAGAGCGGUCACAGCCGCGCACCGAAGCCGCAUGAAGAGUCGACAUAGAGCGGUCAUCGCCGCACGCAGAAGCCGCGUGAGGAGUCACCAUAGAGCAGUAACCUCUGCGCGCGAAAACCGAUGAAGUAGGCGGACAAGCACCAAGUACCGACGGAAGGCACAUGCGCGAGACGGGAUCAGUGUAGGGAACACCAAUCAACGGGGAGUGAGGAGAGACUAUGCCCGAUAACAACAUAAUGUCUUUCUCUUUUUUCUCUGUUUUUUACUCACGAGCUAAGGAACCGAUCGGUCAACUCCCGAUGGGAUCGACUGGGCGAGGAAGCAGACACGCUGGGGGGCUCGGGGUGACCAACGCCACACAAGGGGCCACGGCAGGAAACGCCACACAAGGGGCCACGAUGGGGCGGCGGCAGCCAGAUGAGGGCCACGGCCAGGAGGAGUCGCAGCGGGAGGACGAGGGAGCCACCGGAUCGAUGGCGGGGGCGGACGGGCGGCAGCGGCGACAUGUGGACGGGGCCGGCCUGGGAGUGCCGGCCAGCGGAGAGCAGAGGGACCUGUGAGAGCCGGCCUCCAGCGGUAGCGGCCCGACCAGGGAGAGCCGAAGGCCGGCGCGCAGCGGCGUGACCUCGAUCGGCUGUCAGAGACGAGGCAGCGGCGGCGGCCAAAAUAGGCGGCCUGACCUCGAUCGGCUGUCAGAGACGAGGCAGCGGCGGCGGCCAAAACAGGUAAGUGCCGGGCGUCCCGAUCUGGGAUGCUUGGAACCAGCGGCCGGAACCGACGAGGAACGGCGCCUGGGCGCGGAAUCAGCGACAGCGACCUCCUUUGUCUGAUCGAGAUUGAUCUCGCACAGACGGGGACCAGGGAACGAUGGCCAGGCAAAAUAGAGCAGCGGCAGCAGAGGAAACUGCACGCUCGAGAGGCAACAACCAAGCAGAGGCAGGAGAUGAUUUGGAGCAGCGUGGCCGGGAAAGGAUGAUCACGGCGGUCUGAUUGGAUCGAGCACGAGUUGCAGCGUGCGAAAAAAAGAACCAGAGCUCUCUUACCAUUUUAGGAAAAUAUGCAACUUAGUAUUAUCAGAAGGCAAAAGUCAUCAUAUAUACAUGUACACGGAAUGCCAAAGGCCAGAAUGCAAAAGGCCAAAUGCCACAAUAAAUAUAACUCUAACACCAAUGAGUAGCAACACCUCGAAAUUUUUGACACCUCCGUUUGACAUCUUGAGUCUUCUAUCAAAGAUUAGUGGGUAAAACUUUCGGGGAAGAAUGUCCCCAACCGGAAGGCGAUGGUAUCGCUCAGAAUGCCCAUUAGUUGGACCACUCAGAAUGAAAGAGAAGCACGAGUUUCCAGACACAAGAGCAAGAUGUAACUUAUUUUGUUUAAUGCCAUCAAGGACGAGAUUAAGCUCGGGGCCACAGCGGGCACAAAAAAGUUGGGUUCCAUUAUCCGGGGAGAGUAGUUCCUCCAUGUAUUUGUCUAGCCUUAGGUUAUUAAAAAAAAUUCUCUUAAUCUUAAUUAAUAGAUGUGGCAAGCUUUUGCUGCCAUUUCAGGAAAUAAAAUAAAAAUAGCAAGACCAUGGUCAGAACCAACCCAUGGGUAAAAUAAAAUAACAAAUUGAAAUUUUAGUUUCGUCAAUUAUAUGUAUCUAUACGCUUUGCAGGUGUUUGAUGUGUAUCACAAACUGAAAUGAAAUAAGUGUUGGAACUGAUCUCUUGGCUAACCUCCUGACAACCUGAGAGAGAAAAAGGGUGUGGGCUACUUAGUCCCGAUUCCUGUGACCUGGGUUCAUCUGGACCUGAUAGGUGUUCACAGGUGACUGGUCGAAUGCAUUUGUUGGUAUUGUGUAGUAUUGAGGGUGUUGGCGUCUUUGCACGUAAAUGCACCAACAGAUAACAAAAAUAGCAAUGUCUUUGUAUAGACCCCAAUGGGCAACAGGAAAGGAAUGAAAGAGUUGGGUUGACACUGUCAAUAUCCACUUGCUCUGGUUAUCUGUAGUUUAGAGGCACCAACGACACUUGUAGAUGAAUACAUGCUGUUAAUUAACUAACAGUUGAGUUUUGUCAACUAUGUAUUUAGACGCUUUUGCAGGUGUUUGAUGUAUCACGAACUGAAAUGAGACAAGAGUGUUGGAGAUAGAGACACAAUACCACUUUACUGGAUAGUGGUGAAACCAAAACUAUUUCUCGAGUGAAUUGGCAGUCAAUGACUUGCAACUGGACAGCGGCAUCUGCAUGACGACAUACCAGUUAGACUUAGAUACAUCUGUUUGUACUUCUACGCACGACAUUGAUAUGGGGGACAAUCCAGGUUUGAAUACUCCUGCUAUGCUCACUGAACACAUGCGUUGAUCCGUAUGUAGUCGCUACUCACUUCAACGGUGGCCAAGGAACGUAUGGUUACUGGAUCUAUCCGAUGGGAGAUGGUAGCACAGGCUAUUUCCAACCGGUUUGGAUGGCGGUUAUGUAAUAGGAUAGGCAAUUAGUUUUCCUAUCUUUCUUAUACUAGCCGGUUGUGGCUUUACUUCUAUUUUUCUGCUCUUUGUGAGCAUUUUUUGUUCUUUUGUGUUAGACAUCAAGACUUGUAUUGAACUUAUUUGCUUUUUAAUAAGUAUGGCUGUAUGCAUCGUUCUGAUGCAGGACCGGGGUGUUCUCCCUUUUCGAAAAAAAAAUGCUAACUGAACACCUGCAGUUAGAUGCACUCUGAACUAAAUAUGGAGGAAAAGUAACUAGUUAGGAUCAGCGCAAGUUUCAUGUAAAUGGAAAUCUAGCGGAACAGCAUCCAAUAUAUACAAAUUUGGGGUUGAUAUCUCUCUGGUUUUUGACAGUUUAAUUUACUCUGUUUCGUGGAAAGUUAAAAUAAAUAAAUAAUAUAAAUUCAACUGGUGACAUUUACUUUUACAAGUUCUUGAAAAGUAGAUGUUGAUAACGUACAUAGUUCUGUGCAACAACAGAGGAUCUAGUAGCUUGUUCUGAUGUUAAAGCUUGAAUUUCACGGGGGUACACAAAAAUGGAAGGCCCUUAUCCAUGUGCAGAGUAAACAUUGUUUUGUAUAUUGGACCCUUGGAUUCAUCUUCCAGUCUAAACCUGAAGAACUGUAUCAGUGUAGCGGCCACAAUUUUCAUCUGUCUGUAUGCAAAUUCUUUCCCCAAGAAGAUACGAGGUCCUGCCUGACCAUUGGAAGAAGACUCGUUACAUGAAAAUGGUUAUUUAUACUCUAAAAAAUGAAUUUAUAACUUGAGAACUGAUUUUAAACCAUGCAACUUUCUUAUAUUAGGGUGUUCCCUACUUUAGUUGAAAUGCAAUAUUAUAUGCUUCAUUUCCUGCUUUAGCAACAGAAGGUCAGAUUUAAAUACCACUAAUGUUACUAUUUUCUAGGUUCUUUGCCAACUAUUGGUGAUGAUCUAGGUUGUGCCUAGUGGCGGAGCGUGGCGAAAGUACAAGAGGGGGCCAACUCCAUAUAACUCUUGUAUUCUCCAUAGUGCCAUGGUUGAUGAAUAGACUGGAAAUUUAUCUCGCAAAAAAAACCCGAGAAAUAUGGAUGAAAGCCAUUAAGUCAAUCAUAGAACAUAUGCGAGAGAUAAUUAUGUGGCCUCAUCAUAAUAUAUGUAUCUUGUUCACACAAGUACACCAUAUACUAACAUUUUCACACUUUUGGUGGUUAAAAAAAAGACCACACCUUCAUGUCCAAAAUACAACUAAACAUGAGUAUCAAAUUCUGUAGCAUUUAAUGGAGUGGACAUCCAAAUGAAUAAAUUACCAUCAUGCCUAAAUUCUCAAUUAUCAUCUGAGUAAUUGAAAAAUACGACAUACACGUUGUGCAAUCAACCAGCCGAUAACCAAGCAAGCAAGGCAACUAGGCAAGCACGAAGCACUAAACUAAACCAGCAGGCAUGGGCGUUUGAUUCAACUGACGAGGAGCCGCAAGCCCGCAAGAGGAUUAAGUUCCGGCUCAUCCAAGUCAACGACCUUUUUACAUCACAUAGCCAGCCGCCGCCUUCCCAAAACUAGGGUUCUUUGCCUCCCACCGGCGUUGGCGCCGGUCCGUCCCGUCUCCGGUGGCCUUAGCCCUUGCCGCUGGGAGGGCUCCGUUUUCAUAUCUUUUUUCAAGCUUUAUUAGGGUUUGUGUCCUGCUUAGGAAGGCGAGACGGCGGCGGUGAUGCGUGUAGCAUCAUCGGUGGGCGUGUGGAGGUGUGUCUCCAGCGGAUUUAUCUUUGGUGGAUUUGCUCGGAUCUGUUCGUGUGUCUUCAGGGUGGAUCGUUUUGAUCUACACUCUUCAUCCGCGGCGUUUGCUGCUUUGGUGCGUUGGUUCUAUGGGACCUUAGCACGACGACUUCCCGACUGUCUACUACAACAAGGUUUGCCCGGCUCCGGUGUGGGAAAGGCGAUGACAGCGGCGCGCCUUCGGCUCGCUUCAGUGUUUGUAUUCAUCGCUAGGUGGUUUACAAAUCUGAAUGUAAUUUUUAUUUUUUCUAGUGUCCGUUGUACUAUCAUGAUUGAAGAUGAAUAGAUUGAAAGUUUUUCUGCAAAAAAAAAAGUUUUGGCUCAUUCGCCAUCCGACAAUGGUGCACAGCUUGCUGGCGUCGGUGGCGUUUAGCUCCAACACUCAAACCAAGACGAAGGGGAUUGAUUGAUUGAAGAGGAUCGGUGGAAGUCGGGCAGAUGGAGGAGUUCAGGUCGUAGACCGUAGACGGCAGGUCGUCGUGGCCGAGCCAUGAAGUUGCGAAGGCUUGGGGAAAUUGGCUACGGAGGCUGGCUGGAGCUGGAUGCGUGACAUGCCAACAACCAAAACAGGGGAGAACGCUGCUCGAUCGUGCUCCAAGCCUGCUGGAGGGCUUUAUCAUCUGGGCUAAAAUACUGCAUAUACCUAGUAAUUUUGCUUUUGCCAUUUCGCAAGGGGGGGCCAGGGCCCAGUUUCGCCUCCACUACGCUCCGCGAGUGGUAGACGGCAUGUCAUCGUGGCCGAGCCCUGAAGUAGCGGAGGCUUGGGGAAAUUGGCUACGNNNNNNNNNNNNNNNNNNNNNNNNNNNNNNNNNNNNNNNNNNNNNNNNNNNNNNNNNNNNNNNNNNNNNNNNNNNNNNNNNNNNNNNNNNNNNNNNNNNNNNNNNNNNNNNNNNNNNNNNNNNNNNNNNNNNNNNNNNNNNNNNNNNNNNNNNNNNNNNNNNNNNNNNNNNNNNNNNNNNNNNNNNNNNNNNNNNNNNNNNNNNNNNNNNNNNNNNNNNNNNNNNNNNNNNNNNNNNNNNNNNCAUGCGAACAACCAAAACAGGGGAGAACGCUGCUCGAUCGUGUUCCAAGCCUGCUGGAGGGCUUUAUCAUCUGGGCUAAAAUACUGCAUAUACCUAGUAAUUUUGCUUUUGCCAUUUUGCAAGGGGGGGCCAGGGCCCAGUUUCGCCUCCACUACGCUCCGCGAGUGGUAGACGGCAGGUCAUCGUGGCCGAGCCCUGAAGUAGCGGAGGCUUGGGAAAUUGGCUACGGAGGCUGGCUGGAGCUGGAUGUGUGACAUGCGAACAGCCAAAACAGGGGAGAACGCUGCUCGAUCGUGCUCCAAGCCUGCUGGUGGGCUUUAUCAUCUGGGCUAAAAUACUGCAUAUACCUAGUAAUUUUUCUUUUGCCAUUUCCAAGGGGGGGCCAGGGCCCAGUUUCCCGUUGCAAGAUAAAUAGAUCAAGUUGGUCAAAUAAAACCCAAAUAUCGGAGAAGAAAUACGAGGCUAUAAGAGAUCAAAGAAACUCAAAUAACUUUCAUGUAUACAAAAAGAUAUAAUUGAUCAUAAACUCGAAGUUCAUCAGAUCCCAACAAACACACCACAAAAAGAGAUACAUCAUAUGGAUCUCCAAGAGACCAUUGUAUUGAGACUUCAGCAAGAGAGAGGAAGCCAUCUAGGUACUAACUACGGACCCGAAGGUCUACAAAGAACUACCCACUCAUCAUCGAAGAGGCACCAAUGGAAGUGGUGAACCCCUCCGUGAUGGUGUCUAGAUUGGAUCUGGUGGUUCUGGAUUCUGCGGAGGCUGGAUGAAUAUUUCGUCGACGCUUCUACGGUUCUGGUAUUUUUGGGGUAUUUAUAAAGCAAAGAGGCGGUCCGGGGGGCACGCGAGGUGGGCAUAACCCACCAGGGCGUGGCUGGGCCUCCUGGCGCGCCCUGGUGGGUUGUAGCCUCCUUGGGACUCCCCCUAGGUGCAACCAAGGCCCAUCUUCUUCCUUCUGGCCCAUAAAAAAUCUUCGUAAAGUUUGCGGCAUUUGUACUCUGUUUGAUAUUGAUUUCCUGCGAUGUAUAAAAAAUGCAGAAAACAACAACUGGCACUUUGCACUAUGUCAAUAGGUUAGUACUAAAAAUGACUAUAAAACAUUCAAGAUUGAUAAUAAAACAACAUGGAACAAUAAAAAAUUAUAGAUACGUUGGAGACGUAUCAGAGAAGUACAAGAUGGUCGGGUUCGACCUCGAGUACACCCGCGCUCGUGCCGGGUCUCGUCCCAAGGUCGCCGUCGCCCAGAUGUGCGUGCACCACCACGUCCUCAUCUACCACUACUGCCUGGCCACAAGUCCUUGCGAGCGUUUCGUCAGGUUUGUCAACAGCCCCCACUACAUGUUCGCUAUGGUGUACAUCACCAACGAUGUAAAGGCGCUCGAGAAUUCGGGCAUCGCCUGCUAAAAUCUUGUCGACAUCCAGGGCCAAUACAAGAUCUGGGGCAGCAAGGAGCAUGAGAAGGGCUCACUGGUUCACCGCCAAGGCCAUCAUCUACCCCUACUACAGAGACAUGAAGGAUUCGUGCAACAAGGACAAGCGUGCCUGGCACUCGGCCUGGAUGGAGAAACUCGACAAAGCUCACGUUGUGUACACGGCCAAGGAGGCGUACACGAGCUACGCCAUGUACAUGCGGAUCGUUGACAUGAGGAAGUGUCUCCUUCCCCAAAACGGCCAAGGAUCCAGCCGAAGGCAGAGCAAUGGCAAGCGUCGUCGCAAUAAUAAGUAGAUGAUUAGAUCCUCGUUUCUCCUACUUUAGUAUGCAUGUAAUUGCUUACAUUAGUGUGUGGAAAUGUUAUGUGUGUAGUAACUUGUGUAAUUGUAUGCUUAAUUUGGUUAUGCAAUGCUGUCUUUUUUUGUAUAUAUGUUGAUGCUCUGUAGACAGAGCGUAGAUGUUGUGCGGACAAAGAAAAUCACAUCACACACGGACUAAACAAUGGAACUCGUCGGUGAUGUUUUCAUCAAUCACUCACAAUUGUAUACAACAAUUGUUUGCUCACAACACACACGUCUUGUUAGCAGUAAUCGUUUGUGUUGUUAUCGGUUUUUGCACACGUUUCUGAUUACAGACACUAGUCAUCAUCCCGUGCAUCUUCACGGUCUAGAUAUUAUAGGGGUGCAUAAUUACAAACACAAUUGUAGCAACUUUUAAAAUGAAAGAGUAUAAAUUAUGAAUAUCACAAUGAUGGAUAACUUAUUUUUUUACUCAACAAUUGUAACACAAAAUAUACCAUCUGUUUAUAGGCUUCAUGAUUGGACAGUAUAUCCACUUUCCCUUUAUGUUGCGCAAAAUACCAUUAUUGGUCUGAAUGGAUCCUUCCUCACAUCGUAGCAACUAUAGCACUUUGUGAAUUUUAUACUUGACGUGUGGAGGAAGUAUGUAUUCAUUCGAUCCAUAUAGCCAGAUACACGUCUUCCUAAUGUAGAAAAUAAUAUUUACGUCUUCCUAAUGUAGAAAAUAAUAUUUACGAAUUUGAUCGACAUUGUAGCUUAUAUAACACAACUCAACAAAAGUUUGGACAAAAAUACAUACACACAUUAACUGCUCAACAUAACUUGAAAAGCCUGAGAGGCAUUUGCGGUAUGGGUGAUGUACAUAAAAUAAAUAAGUAAAUAUUUCAUAAACAAAAUUAUUAGAAGAAGAACCAAAUGUUCUUGAAAUAUUGUUGGGAGCCGUUAGGGAGAUUUUGUAUGUUUGUAUAUUAUUUACAUUAUCAUGACUGGUCUUUCUGUACGGUGAAAUUGAAAUUUCUUUUCCAGAUAUGUAUAGGCUUUUUUAUUAACGUGGAGCUUUAUGAUUCUUUAUUUGUACGUGUCUGUGCGUGCUUUUUCUUUUGAGGCACCUGCCAUAUGGACCUUUUUUAAUGGGGCUCGAGCACUUCUUUUUAUGUGCGCUUUCUUCCUGUCUUGAGAGAAGGCACGGCCAACUCUAAAGAAAAGGGACGGUGAUUUAUUUGUGUGUGGGCUUUUUGGAUGGGCGUUUUUUUAGACGUGUACUUGGGUAUUGAGGACUUCUCCUCUUGUAUGUCUGGGGAGAAUUUUUUUGCGGGGGCGCUUUUGCGGUGGAUUUUUUCAGAUGUGUGUCGUGAGGACUGAGGAUUUUUUUUCUUGUAUGUGUAGGUUUAAUCCCCCUCCUGUACGCUGUGUUUCUUUUUCUAAAGAUAAAGAAAAGGAAGUAACAUCCAUUAACAGAUCUUUACCAUUGAAUUUAUAAUUUAAUGGCUAAAUUAAUCCUGUUGAUGUGGAUUAACGUCAAGGCUUUUAUGGCUUAAUUUUUAUUUCACGGGCAAUCAAUCGGUUCGCGGAAAUCUUUUCCUUCUAUAUCCUUGGACUUUUGUUGGACAUUUUAUCAUUGGAGUUUUUAACGGAGGAUUGCCGUUUUAUUUUUUAUUUACGAAGGGCUGGAGGCGCUCCUUGUUUUGUUUCAUUAUUAAUAUUUUACGUGUCAGAUCCAUUUUUAUGGGAAAGAAAUAAGAGAGCAGGAGGCUUUCCUUCUUAUUUAUUAGGAACGGGUGGAGUGUUUCGUUGUUUUUCUUCAUUAUUAAUGUUAGACGUGCCAGAUCCGUUUUUUACGGAACAGGAAAGACAGUGCACUUUGUGUUUUUUAAGUGGGCUUUCCUUUUUAUUUUCGGGAACCGGUGAAGGCUUUCCUGAUUUUUUUUCAUUAAUGUAGACGUGUCAAAUCUAUAUUUGUGGGACGGGAUCAUCUACUUGCGUUACGCAAGAUUUCUUUUAAUCCUAGACGUAAAUUUUACUAUCUAACGGCUUAAUUAAUUUGGAUGAUGUGGAUUAAUGAAAACACAUGAAUGGUGCCUCCAAUUAGUAAAUAUAAGAUAAGAUAUAAGAUAUAAGAUGUUUGCCGCAUAUCACACACAUCUUGUUAAGUUAAACCGUUUUCUGUUUUCAUGUCUCAACGUAAACAGUUCAUCCGAGUGAACCACAUUCCGUAUAUCGGACACACCUUGAUCUGGCUGACCAUUUCUUUUGUGUUGCCUAAUCACAAACAGUUCAUUCGAAUCACAAACAAUUCAUCUGAGUGAACCGUAUGCUGUAUAUCGCACACACCUUCAUCUGGCUGCCUGCUACCUCUUGAGCUUGCAUUGGAUUUCCCCGAAGAGGAGAGGAUGAUGCAGUAGAGUAGCGUAAGUAUUUCCCUCGGUUUUUGAGAACCAAGGUAUCAAUCCAGUAGGAGGCCAUGCGCAAGUCCCUCGUACCUACACAAAAGCAAUAGCUCCUCGCAACCAAUGCAAUUAGGGGUUGUCAAUCCCUUCACGGUCACUUACGAGAGUGAGAUCUGAUAGAGCUGAUAGAUAAUAUUUUUGGUAUUUUUGAUAUAGAGAUGCAAAGUAAAAAGUAAAAGACAAAGUAAAAAAGCAAAGCAAGAUUAAAGUGAUGGAGACUAAUAUGAUGAGAAUAGACCCGGGGGCCAUAGGUUUCACUAGUGACUUCUCUCAAGAGCAUAAGUAUUCUACGGUGGGUGAACAAAUUACUGUUGAGCAAUUGAUAGAAUUGAGCAUAAUUAUGAGAAUAUCUAGGCAUGAUCAUGUAUAUAGGCAUCACGUCCGAGACAAGUAGACCGACUCCUGCCCGCAUCUACUACUAUUACUCCACUCAUCGACCGCUAUCCAGCGUGCAUCUAGAGUAUUAAGUUAAAAACAGAGUAACGCCUUAAGCAAGAUGACAUGAUGUAGAGGGAUAAAUUCAUGCAAUAUGAAAUAAACCCCAUCUUGUUAUCCUCGAUGGCAACGAUGCAAUACGUGCCUUGCUGCCCCUUCUGUCACUGGGAAAGGACACCGCAAGAUUGAACCCAAAGCUAAACACUUCUCCCAUGGCAAGAAAAACCAAUCUAGUAGGCCAAACCAAACUGAUAAUUCGAAGAGACUUGCAAAGAUAACCAAUCAUACAUAAAAGAAUUCAGAGAAGAUUCAAAUAUUAUUCAUAGAUAGACUUGAUCAUAAAUCCAUAAUUCAUCGGUCUCAACAAACACACCGCAAAAAGAAGAUUACAUCGAAUAGAUCUCCACAAGAGAGAGGGAGAACAUUGUAUUGAGAUCCAAAAAGAGAGAAGAAGCCAUCUAGCUACUAACUAUGGACCCGAAGGUCUGAGGUAAACUACUCACACUUCAUCGGAGAGGCUAUGAUGAUGUAGAAGCCCUCCGUGCUGACAGCCCUCUCCGGCGGAGCUCCGGAACAGGCCCCAAGAUGGGAUCUCGUGGAUACAGAAAGUUGCGGAGGUGGAAUUAGGUUUUUGGCUCCGUAUUUGAUCGUUUGGGGGUACGUAGGUAUAUAUAGGAGGAACGAGUACGUCGGUGGAGCUCCGAGGGGCCCACGAGGCAGGGGGCGCCCCCACCCUCGUGACCACCUCUUGGUUCCCUUGGAGUAGGGUCCAAGUCUCCUGGAUCACGUUCGGUGAGAAAAUCACGUUCCCGAAGGUUUCAUUCCGUUUGGACUCCGUUUGAUAUCCUGUUUCUUCGAAACACUAAAAUAGGCAAAAAACAGCAAUUCUGGGCUGGGCCUCCGGUUAAUAGGUUAGUCCCAAAAAUAAUAUAGAAGUGGAAAAUAAAGCCCAAUAUAGUCCAAAACAGUAGAUAAUAUAGCAUGGAGCAAUCAAAAAUUAUAGAUACGUUGGAGAUGUAUCAGGCAUCCCCAAGCUUAAUUACUGCUCGUCCUCGAGUAGGUAAAUGAUAAAAAUAGAAUUUUUGAUGCAGAGUGCUAUUUGGAAUAAUUUAAAUGCAAAUCUUCUUAAUUGUGGUAUGAAUAUUCAGAUUUGAAAGAUUCAAGACAAAAGUUCAUAUUGACAUAAAAAUAAUAAUACUUCAAGCGUACUAACAAAGCAAUUAUGUCUUCUCAAAAUAACAUGGCCAAAGAAAGCUAUCCCUACAAAAUCAUAUAGUUUGGCUAUGCUCUAUCUUCACCACACAAAGUAUUUAAAUCAUGUACAACCCCGAUAACAAGCCAAGCAAUUGUUUCAUACUUUAACAUUUUCAAAACUUUUUCGAUCCUCAUGCAAUACAUGAGCGUGAGCCAUGGAUAUAGCACUAUAUGUGGAAUAGAAUGGUGGUUGUGGAGAAGCCAAAAGGAGGGGAAGAUAGUCUCACAUCAACUAGGCGUAUCGACGGGCUAUGGAGAUGCCCAUCAAUAGAUAUCAAUGUGGGUGAGUAGGGAUUGCCAUGCAACGGAUGCACUGGAGCUAUAAGUAUAUGAAAGCGCAACAAAAGAAACUAAGUGGGUGUGCAUCCAACUUGCUUGCUCACAAAGACCUAGGGCAAUUUCAGGAAGCCCAUCAUUGGAAUAUACAAGCCAUGUUCUAUAAUGAAAAAUUUCCACUAGUAUAUGAAAGUGACACAAUGAGAGACUCUCUAUCAUGAAGAUCAUGGUGCUACUUUGAAGCACAAGUGUGGUAAAAGGAUAGUAACAUUGCCCCUUCUCUCUUUUUCUCUCAUCAUUUUUUUAUUUGGGCCUUUUUUCUUUUUUUAUGGCCUCUUUUUUUUUCGUUCGGAGUCUCAUCCCGACUUAUGGGGGAAUCAUAGUCUCCAUCAUCCUUUCCUCACUUGGGACAAUGCUCUAAAAAUUGAUAAUCAUCACACUUUUAUUUUUCUUACAACUCAACAAUUACAACUCGAUACUUAGAACAAAUAUGACUCUAUAUGAAUGCCUCCGGCGGUGUACCAGGAUAUGCAAUAAAUCAAGAGUGACAUGUAUGAAAGAAUUAUGAACGGUGGCUUUGCCACAAAUACGAUGUCAACUACAUGAUCAUGCUAGCAAUAUGACAAUGAUGGAACACGUCAUAAUAAACGGAAUGGUGGAAAGUUGCAUGGCAAUAUAUCUCGGAAUGGCUAUGGAAAUGCCAUGAUAGGUAGGUAUGGUGGCUGUUUCGAGGAAGGUAUAUGGUGGGUGUAUGAUACCGGCGAAAAGUGCACGGUAUUAGAGAGGCUAGCAAUGGUGGAAGGAUGGGAAAAGUGCGUAUAAUCCAUGGACUCAACAUUAGUCAUAAAGAACUCAUAUACUUAUUGCAAAAAUCUAGAAGUUAUCAAAGCAAAGUAUUACGCGCAUGCUCCUAGGGGGAUAGAUUGGUAUGAAAAGACCAUCGCUCGUCCCCGACCGCCACUCAUAAGGAAGACAAUCAAUAAAUAAAUCAUGCUCCGACUUCAUCACAUAACGGUUCACCAUACGUGCAUGCUACGGGAAUCACAAACUUUAACACAAGAAUUUCUCAAAUUCACAACUAUUCAACUAGCAUGACUCUAAUAUCACCAUCUUCAUAUCUCAAAACAAUUACCAAGCAUCGAUCUUUUCUUAGUAUUCAACGCACUCAAAAGAAAGUUUCACAAAUCUUGAACACCAAGCAUAUUAUUGUUAAGCAAAUUACCAUGCUAUUAAGACUCUCAAAAUAACCUAAGUGAAGCAUGAGAGGUCAAUAGUUUCUUUAAAACAAAUCCACCACCGUGCUCUAAAAGAUCUAAGUGAAGCACAUAGAGCAAAAUUAUAACGCUCAAAAGAUAUAAGUGAAGCACAUACAGUAUUCUAUCAAAUUCCAAUUCAUGUAUGGCUCUCUCAAAACGUGUGUACAGAAAGGAUGAUUAUGGCACACUAACAAACAAAGACACAAAUAAUACAAGACGCUCCAAGCAAAACACAUAUCAUGUGGUGUAUAAAAAUAUAGCUCCAAGUAAAAUUACCGAUGGAAGUAGACGAAAGAGGGGAUGCCUUCCGGGGCAUCCCCAAGCUUUGACUUUUGGUGUUCUUGGAUUAUCUUGGGGGUGCCAUGGGCACCCCCAAGCUUAGGCUCUUGCCACUCCUUGUUCCAUAAUCCAUCAAAAGAAUUCACCCAAAACUUGAAAACUUCACAACACAAAACUCAAUAGAAAUCUCAUGAGCUCCGUUAGAGAAAGAAAACAAAAGACCACUUCAAGGUACUGUAAUGAAAUCAUUCUUUAUUUAUAUUGGUGUUAAACCUAAUGUAUUCCAACUUCUCUAUGGAUUAUAAACUAUUUUACUAGCCAUCGAUUCAUCAAAAUAAGCAAACAACACACGAAAAACAGAAUCUGUCAAAAGCAGAAUAGUCUGUAGUAAUCUGUAACUAACGCAAACUUCUGGAACUCCAAAACAUCUACCAAAAUUGGACGACCUGGACAAUUUGUUUGUUGAUCAUCAACAAUUGGAAUCAGUAUUUUAUCACGUUAUGGUGAUUUUUAAUAAUUCGUGCAUUGAGCGCAAAGUUUCUGGAAAUUACAGCAAGAUCAAAUAACUAUCAUCCAAGAAGAUCCAAUAGGUCUAACUUGGCACAAAAACUAAUUAAAACACAAAACCACAUCUAAACAUAAGGUAGAUGGAUUAUUUAUUCCUGAACAGAAACAAAAACAAAAAACAAAAAAUAAAAUUGGGUUGCCUCCCAACAAGCGCUAUCGUUUAACGCCCCUAGCUAGGCAUAAAAGCGAGGAUAGAUCUAGGUAUUGCCAUCUUUGGUAGGCAAUCCAUAAGUGGAUCUCAUGAUAGUUUCAUAUGGCAAUUUUAUUUCUUUCUAGGAAAGUGUUCCAUGCCCUUUUUUAAUGGAAAUUUAAAUCUAAUAUUCCCUUCCUUCAUAUCAAUAAUCGCACCAACCGUUCUAAGGAAAGGUCUACCAAGAAUAAUAGGGCAAGAAGGAUUGCAAUCUAUAUCAAGAACGAUAAAAUCUACGGGCACAUAAUUCCUAUUUGCAACAAUAAUAACAUCAUUAAUUCUUCCCAUAGGUUUCUUAAUAGUGGAAUCCGCAAGAUGCAAGUUUAGAGAGCAAUCUUCAAAAUCACGGAAAUCUAGCAAAUCACACAAAGUUUUGGGGAUAGUGGAGACACUAGCACGCAAAUCACACAAGGCAUAAAACUCAUGAUCUUUAAUUUUAAUUGUAAUAGUUGGUUCCCACUCAUCAUAGGGAUAGAAACUUUCAACUCAAGUUUUUCUUCAUAAGAUUGCAUCAAGGCAUCAACAAUAUGUUCGGUAAAGGCUUUCUUUUGACUAUAAGCAUGAGGAGAAUUUAGCACGGAUUGCAACAAGGAAAUACAAUCAAUUAAAGAGCAACUUUCAUAAUUAAAUUCCUUGAAAUCUAAUAUAGUGGGUUUAGCAACAUCUAGGGUUUUCACUACAAGAAAUAUGUCAACUUGUGACCACCACUAUUGGUCACUGAAUGGUCACAAAUUUCCAUUUGUGACCUUUUUCUGACCAAAAACAUAAGGUCAAAAGCUGGCCGUCAUAAACUGACAUUAGCGACCUUUCUUCUGGAAUGGUCGUAAAUGUUUACGACCAAAAUACGUCUACUGUGGCGUUUUGGUCACUAGCAACCUCCCCAGGCCACGUAGGCAUCCAGCGUGGCAAUCUGAUGUGGCACAAGAUUCAGCCCGGUCUGAUUAGGUGUUUUACAUGGGCCGAGCCCAAUAAUUCAACCUAUUUGUGUUUUUUUCUAUGAAUUUUUGGUCAGAUUCAUGGGCCAAGCCCUACAAUUCAGCCUUUUUAUUUUCUGGGCUUAGGCCAUUUUGCAUUCCGUUUCAUUCAACCUUUUGUUUUUGUUUUUCAUAAACGCACAAUAGUCCAGUCCACUAUUGUUUGGGCCAUAGCCUUUUUAGAGCCCAAAUAUUGUUUGAUCCAAUAGAACAUUCAGUCUUUUUCAAUCACAGAUUUCAAUGUUACACAUUUCAAUAGCAAACAAUCAAUAAUUCUCAAAAUUAAAUGAUCAAAUCCAGAAAUCACUCAAUGAAACUCACAACAGCACAUACACAUCUGCACGAUCCAUCAAGUGUACAUAUAAUCGAAAACAAGUACACAAGCACCAAAACAUGGUGGCAACAUCAACUAAAACUACUGUGCACAUCCCCAAGCGUUGCUGAUCUAGUACCAGCCCCAGCCCAAGGUGCACCAGCCCCAGCCCCAGCCCCAGGCAGUCGCAUAUUUUUGCUUGUCUGGUCAUGGUCCUUCUCCUGCGCAUCCAAUUCAGAAGCAAACUCAUAGUAAGUUUCACAUAGAAGUAGCAAUUUGAAUGAGAAGCAGCAACAACAAUUUGAUUUGAAGGAGGAGCAGCAACAACGGCAAGUACUUUCUGCUCAUUAGGAUAGCAACAAGAGCAGUUUGACAUAGUAGGAGCAACAUCAGUUUGAUGAUAGCAUCAGUACCUGAUAUCAGCAAAAGUAGUUUGAAAUAUCCUUGGGCGGCCGAAGAUGGUGAAAUGAUGAUCUGAUUGUUCUUAGACAGUGGUAUUAAAAGAUAGGCUUUUAGAGUAAAAAAAUUGGCUCCAAUCAGCCUGCAUACAACAAGUAAUAAAAUUAUUAGGAGAGAGUAUACAGUUACCAACAGCAUGCAUAAAACAACUUUGAUGAUGUAAUUUUUACUAAAAAUGACAACCAGGUUUCAAGUAUAUCCCCAUCAUUAACAUCAGACAAUUCUAAAUGUAAACGAGAUGGCAUUUGUAUAGACCUAGAAUCUCAUAUGUUGCCAGAGCUAGAAAAAAUGAGAUAUUCACUAGCAAAUGAAAAUAGGGACCUGCUGGAAACAUCACACUACGAAUGAGAUAUGGUGCAUAUUU
RNAcentral lists this long non-coding RNA (33471 nucleotides) under Triticum aestivum (bread wheat). RNAcentral's name for it is "long non-coding RNA (TAES_LNC014051)". The record is from RNAcentral. Lineage: Eukaryota; Viridiplantae; Streptophyta; Magnoliopsida; Poales; Poaceae.